RNAcentral lists this unclassified non-coding RNA (452 nucleotides) under Hevea brasiliensis (rubber tree). The record is from RNAcentral. Lineage: Eukaryota; Viridiplantae; Streptophyta; Magnoliopsida; Malpighiales; Euphorbiaceae.
AGGGAGCUUGUCCGGGGUUGUAUAAGACCAAUGUAUAUGCAACAUUAGAAUAUUUUUUGAUUGAAGGUUUUCAAGGAGAUGCUGGUGGGGAUGCUCGGAUGAUAUGCAGACCACUUGAUGUUGGAGACGAGGAUGGCUGUGUGCUUGAAUUGAACAAUGGGACAAUAAGUUUGGAAAUCCGUCGCUCUUUAUCCUUGCCUUUUAGUAUAGUUGAUUCUGGAAAGUGUCUAGUAAUUGAAAGGAAUGAGUGGGAUAAACAACUUGAGAAGCGACGUUUGAGAGCGCCCUCUACAAUUGACUUGCUGGGCACAAAACAUUGUCAAGAGUUGGAAGUUGAUGGGGCAUUACCGUUUGAUGCUACAAUUGAUGUUGGACAAGUACCUCCGCUUGAAAUUGUGGCAGUUAUUCGGCCUGCCAGUUAUGUUGCUUCUAGCACUUCAAACAGUUUGGAC